AGCCCAGCUUGCUGGGUGGAUGAGUGGCGAACGGGUGAGUAACACGUGAGUAACCUGCCCCCUUCUUUGGGAUAACGCCCGGAAACGGGUGCUAAUACUGGAUAUUCACUGAUCUUCGCAUGGGGGUUGGUGGAAAGGUUUUUUCUGGUGGGGGAUGGGCUCGCGGCCUAUCAGCUUGUUGGUGGGGUGAUGGCCUACCAAGGCUUUGACGGGUAGCCGGCCUGAGAGGGUGACCGGUCACAUUGGGACUGAGAUACGGCCCAGACUCCUACGGGAGGCAGCAGUUGGGAAUAUUGCACAAUGGGCGAAAGCCUGAUGCAGCGACGCCGCGUGAGGGAUGACGGCCUUCGGGUUGUAAACCUCUUUCGCUCAUGGUCAAGCCGCAGCUUUGGGUUGUGGUGAGGGUAGUGGGUAAAGAAGCGCCGGCUAACUACGUGCCAGCAGCCGCGGUAAUACGUAGGGCGCGAGCGUUGUCCGGAAUUAUUGGGCGUAAAGGGCUUGUAGGCGGUUGGUCGCGUCUGCCGUGAAAUCCUCUGGCUUAACUGGGGGCGUGCGGUGGGUACGGGCUGACUUGAGUGCGGUAGGGGAGACUGGAACUCCUGGUGUAGCGGUGGAAUGCGCAGAUAUCAGGAAGAACACCGGUGGCGAAGGCGGGUCUCUGGGCCGUUACUGACGCUGAGGAGCGAAAGCGUGGGGAGCGAACAGGAUUAGAUACCCUGGUAGUCCACGCUGUAAACGUUGGGCACUAGGUGUGGGGGCCACCCGUGGUUUCUGCGCC
This 778-nucleotide ribosomal RNA is filed under the name uncultured Actinomyces sp. RNAcentral's name for it is "bacterial SSU rRNA". It matches the Rfam family "Bacterial small subunit ribosomal RNA", at positions 72 to 847 of the family's 1533-position model. Lineage: Bacteria; Bacillati; Actinomycetota; Actinomycetes; Actinomycetales; Actinomycetaceae. The record is from RNAcentral.